Symphalangus syndactylus (siamang) is the source of this 1120-nucleotide long non-coding RNA. RefSeq lists it as uncharacterized. The record is from RefSeq and is a predicted model, not a curated record. NCBI's taxonomy places the organism in Eukaryota, Metazoa, Chordata, Mammalia, Primates, Hylobatidae.
UUCCGAUGAGAUGGAGCAGAAAGGCAGGCAGGAGCUCAACAAUUUGGAAUUUUAAAGGCAGGGUAUACUGGUGAAUUCCAUAUAGACUUUCUAGAUAGGAUUUGGAUAUACAAUACAAGUAGGGCUGGGGUGGGGAGUGGUCAGAGCUGAUGAAUCAAGAUUCAAUCCAUCUCACACAGGGUCCCAAGCUCCUCCAAAGUAUUUUCUGGCUCUCCCCCUUCCCAGAAGGGGUUUCCCUGGUCUGGGGAGGUGGGUGCUGGUGUGGACACAACAGACAGCCACGUGCAGGCCAGAUUCCCAUGGCCCAGAUCUUCUAGGAAGCAGGCUGCACUCCCAACUUUUAAAAUCACAAAGCAGAUUCCCAGCCUGGAAAACUCAUUGCGGGUAGGCUGGUAGGGAGAAACAAAAGACCGGGCGUGGUGGCUCACGCCUGUAAUCCCAGCACCUUGGGAGGCCGAGGCGGGUAGAUCACAAGGUCAAGAGAUGGAGACCAUCCUGGCCAACAUGGUGAAACCCUGUCUCUACUAAAAAUACAAAAAUUAGCUGGACGUGGUGGCACGUGCCUGUAGUCCCAGCUACUCGGGAGGCAGAGGCAGGAGAAACACUUGAACCCAGGAGGUGGAGGUUGCAGUGAGCCAAGAUCACGCCACUGCACUCCAGCCUGGUGACAGAGCAAGACUCUGUCUCAAAAAAAAAAAAAAAAAAAAAGCAUCAGGAACUUGUCACCCUGCCCUGGACUUCCACCACACUUUAUAGCCAACAUCACAUCACACCAUCUCUCCUCAAGGCUGGCAGCCCCCCUCCAGGGCACGGAUCACACGUGGUUUAUCUCCAUGUUCCCAGAUCCCAGCACACAGCUAGCAGGGCAGUGAUGACUGCAGCCUGGAUUGGUUAUGAAUGCAAAAGAGGCAAGCAAGGAAAAGCCGGAGGACGGGCCUGUAGUAGCUGUGCCACUGGUGAAGUCAGACUCAAGAGGCCUCUCCCCAGCUCUGAGCCCCCAUAGUCCCUGGAGUGCACCCAGGAUCCCACUCUUGCUCUUGAUCGAUCUCCAUGCUGAGACUGCUGUUAGCAAUUGCUUUAUUUGUCAAUGCCACCAUUUAUGAAGCAUUUGCAGUGUGAA